AGUGAACGCUGGCGGUAGGCCUAACACAUGCAAGUCGAACGGCAGCACAGUAAGAGCUUGCUCUUACGGGUGGCGAGUGGCGGACGGGUGAGGAAUACAUCGGAAUCUACUUUUUCGUGGGGGAUAACGUAGGGAAACUUACGCUAAUACCGCAUACGACCUACGGGUGAAAGCAGGGGAUCUUCGGACCUUGCGCGAUUGAAUGAGCCGAUGUCGGAUUAGCUAGUUGGCGGGGUAAAGGCCCACCAAGGCGACGAUCCGUAGCUGGUCUGAGAGGAUGAUCAGCCACACUGGAACUGAGACACGGUCCAGACUCCUACGGGAGACAGCAGUGGGGAAUAUUGGACAAUGGGCGCAAGCCUGAUCCAGCCAUACCGCGUGGGUGAAGAAGGCCUUCGGGUUGUAAAGCCCUUUUGUUGGGAAAGAGAAGCAGCAGGUUAAUACCCCGCUGUUCUGACGGUACCCAAAGAAUAAGCACCGGCUAACUUCGUG
RNAcentral lists this ribosomal RNA (492 nucleotides) under uncultured bacterium. RNAcentral describes it as "partial 16S ribosomal RNA". It matches the Rfam family "Bacterial small subunit ribosomal RNA", at positions 29 to 507 of the family's 1533-position model. The record is from RNAcentral.